UACGUAGGGCGCAAGCGUUGUCCGGAAUUAUUGGGCGUAAAGAGCUCGUAGGCGGUCUGUUGCGUCGGAAGUGAAAUCCCGGGGCUUAACCCCGGGCUUGCUUUCGAUACGGGCAGACUAGAGUGUGGUAGGGGAGACUGGAAUUCCUGGUGUAGCGGUGAAAUGCGCAGAUAUCAGGAGGAACACCGGUGGCGAAGGCGGGUCUCUGGGCCACUACUGACGCUGAGGAGCGAAAGCGUGGGGAGCAAACAGGAUUAGAUACCCUGGUAGUCCACGCCGUAAACGUUGGGCGCUAGGUGUGGGGGUCCUUCCACGACCUCCGUGCCGCAGCUAACGCAUUAAGCGCCCCGCCUGGGGAGUACGGCCGCAAGGCUAAA
Molecule: ribosomal RNA, 377 nt
Filed under: uncultured bacterium
Lineage: Bacteria
Description: bacterial SSU rRNA
Rfam family: Bacterial small subunit ribosomal RNA
Source: RNAcentral